Lycium ferocissimum is the source of this 513-nucleotide long non-coding RNA. RefSeq lists it as uncharacterized. NCBI's taxonomy places the organism in Eukaryota, Viridiplantae, Streptophyta, Magnoliopsida, Solanales, Solanaceae. The transcript is spliced from 2 exons. The record is from RefSeq and is a predicted model, not a curated record.
UUUUCAGAUGCAACUUUGGGUGCAUGACUUUCCUCACCCUUUUUGGGUCGAUAUUCUGGAUGAAUUACCCAACAGCUAUGUCAUGUAGAUCAGGCCGUCCAUACGAAAACUUGGCAAUCACUGCGUAUUUCAAGUUUUGUCUUUGGGAUAGUUCUUCAAAUUCUUUUUUUGUCCAUGACAUUGUUGGUUCUCCAUACAAGUAUGUAAUAGGUUUAGUUGUUAACUUCUCUUCUUGCGUGGAUGGUUGUAGGGCUGUAGCAUAAUUCAAUUUUGGUAUGGUAUUAGUAGUAGGGUGUGGAGGCGCACCAGCCACCAAUGGUGGCCGGCCGCCGGCCGUCAUGGCCAUGCCGAGGUUUUCAAGUAUUAGGGUUUUGCGUCAAUAUUGAAGAGAGAGAAGAGAGCUUUAUUUUCCUUGAGGCAGCCAACUUUUUUUUUCAGGUAAAUCACAGGCCAAAAGUCAUAAGUUGGUCAUUCAUAACUUAUUAUUUUUCAGCUUAUAAUCACUUCAUGAUC